AGUUACCUAAACUUUCGGCUUUCAAAAUAAAAAAUUCAAAUUAGGCUGGUGUAGGUAAGCACUUGUCUUUAACUACUACUACGAUAAUAGGGAUGGUGUGCUCGAGCGCAGUAUUUAUGACGAUGAUGAUGUUGACGACUGUUUGUAAUAAACAGUAGAGGGCACCAAUACGCCAUUGCAGCGUCCAGUGUGCUCAAUCCAAAGAAGAAGAACGUUCUACUCGGCACGCAAUCAAGACUUGUGCUUUGAAAGUCAUUAACGUUUAAUCUGUUUUUUUUUUUUUUUAAAUACAGUCUAUGGUUUUUUCGAGCUAAAAAUCACUAGCAUAUACUUUGGUCAUCAGGAACUAAGCCAACUUAGCUAAAUUUGCUCGGUAAAGUUGGCGGAUGCCAGUUUAUGAGCCAGAAAAGAAGGCUUUGCUCCAUUGAGACAGCAAUGGCGGGAGAUUUGACGCUGCAAUGGAUGUCCCGGCGGACAUUGCGGUCAAAUGCAAUUUAUAAUCACAAUUUCGAACGAGACUGGGUAAAGACAUUGGCCAUCAAAACCAAACGUGCUGCUGUGGAGUCUGGCCUGCUGACAGGACACCAAGUCAAAGAAGAAGCUCUUCUAAAGUGCGUGACAUUCGGAUGAACUUGCAUUUUGCCUCUCAAAAAUCCUGACAUUUGCCAGUCGAAGAAAGAGCCAGAUUCCUGUAUUGCUCCACUGAUCCUACCUGUACAAAAAGCAUUCAGCAAAGUAAGCUUCACAUCAUCGGGUGUCCCGCUGGCCUUUGGGGACUUAAGGCUCUCGCUCUCCUCCGUUUCCUCACUCUCCAAGGACAAAGCCAUGACGGGGGCCUCCAGGUCGGCCUCAGCGG
This is a long non-coding RNA of Perca fluviatilis (European perch), 856 nucleotides long. RefSeq lists it as uncharacterized. NCBI's taxonomy places the organism in Eukaryota, Metazoa, Chordata, Actinopteri, Perciformes, Percidae. The transcript has 4 exons. The record is from RefSeq and is a predicted model, not a curated record.